GUUCAUGCCAUUCUCCUGCCUCAGCCUCCAGAGUAGCUGGGACUACAGGGGAGAAAGGGAUGAGGAUGUUGGAUAAGCAGCUCAGCAUGUUCCCCAACAUGUAAGGGAAUCAGGUCGAGUUCUACACUCUCCUUCUUGGUACACAUCCUCAGAAUGCAGGAAGUGCCUGUGCUUGCUGUGAGUCUUUGUGGACAGAGGCAGGAUCAUGCUGGCUAGAAUCUAGUGGACAAGGGCAGCACAUUCCCCCUGUUCCCAGGUGGGUCCAGAGAUGUCGCCUGGGAGCCAGGGCCUGGAGUUCUGUUACUGUGGCUGAGCUUGCACCCAAGCUACAAGAUGACAUCCUACUCUUCCCUCACCUUUCUACAAGUAGAGGAGUCUCUUCUCAUGGCCACCAUUGUCCCAGGAUGUGAGGUCUGGAACAGCUGCAGCCAUUUUGCCACCAUGGGAAACCUGGGACAUCUGAACUGACUCCAUGAAGCCUGAAGAGAAAGCUAAUAAGAAGGCAGAGAGAAGAGGAAGAGUCUUGGUCUUUGGAAAUAUCUUUUGGAGCUGCUGGAUCAAGUAUCACUUGAAGUAUUAUUGAAUUUAUUCCCCGAAGGAGAGCGGCUAAGAGUAUUGCCCAGCCACAGGCUCUCAACCACCAACCCGAGCCUCAGAUUCUCCUCACACAGCCACAGCUGUACCACAUGGCCCACGUGAAAUCUGAAUCCACAUGAAAACAAUGGCAACAAGAAAAAGGUGUAAACUUUCCAGAACAGGCCCAGAAUUUGAAAAUGUGAUAAAGAGGUUAUUGUGCGCCCGAACUUUUCACACAAGAAUUGGAGGAGAUUUAACACAUGGAAUAAUAAACAGAGGAAGGCGGGCUAAUGCAGAGCAGAUGGGCCUGCAGGGCAGUGCUCAGCAUUUCAACAUCUUUCCCCUGGACCUUUGGACCCAAGGUGAUUGCAUGCUGGUGUCUUUAGCUAAAAAUAAAGUUAAUGUCUUUGGGGCAAUCAUAAAUAUGGCUGCUUCAGUUUCUGGGGUGAUUGGUGGUCUAAAGUUUUCAAGAACCUACUAUGUGAAAGGCAUUUGACAUUCACUAAUUUAAUCCCAACUACUACUCCAUUUUGAAGGAAAAAAAUGAAGGCUCUGAAAGUGUAAAUCGCUUACUGAAGGGCACACGGCCAGGAUGACAGCGGAGCCAGGAUCACCCCAGGUCUGUCUCAUUGCAUAUGUCAUGGCUCUGCAAACUGGGGCAAUAGGUGAGCAGGGAGAAGAGUCAUGGCCAAAUAAAAUUGAGACAUACCGAUACACACACACACACACACACACACACACACACAUUUACACGGUAACAGCCUUAUUAAGGUACAACUAAUGUACAAUAAGGUGUACAUAUUUAAAGGAUACUAUUUGAUAAGUUUUGACAUAUGUCUGUACCUGGGAAACCAUCACUACAAUCAUGAUGGUGAGCAUAUCUAAUACUCUCAAAAGUUUCCUCUUGCCUUUUGUAAUUCCAUUCUGCCAUCCCACCUGUCCCUCCCACUCCUGAUCCCAGGCAACCACUGAUCUGCUUUCUGUCACUAUAGAUUAGUUACAUUUUCUAGAAUUUUAUAUAAAUGAAAUAAUACAAUAUGUACUAUUUUUCUGUGUUUCUUUCACUCAGCAAAAUUAUUUUGAGAUUCAUUCAUGUUAUUGCUUGUUUAUUCCUUUAUAUUGUUGAGUAGUUAUUCCAUUGUAUGAAUAUGCCACAAUUUGUUUAUCUGUUCAUCUACAUAUGGACAUCUAUAGAUGUUUGCACUUUUGGGCUAUUAAAAAUCAAGUUGAUGUGAAUGUUUGUA
RNAcentral lists this long non-coding RNA (1820 nucleotides) under Homo sapiens (human). Its description in RNAcentral is "HSALNT0311190". The record is from RNAcentral. Lineage: Eukaryota; Metazoa; Chordata; Mammalia; Primates; Hominidae.